AUCCUCCUCCGUUCCUCCUCCUGGGCUGAAUGCGCACGCGCGGCAAGAGCUGCGCGCGCAUUCAGCCCGUCGCAUAGGAAAGCAUUUACAAUGCUUUCCUAUGGACGCUUGCGUGCUCUCAUUGUGAAAAUCACAGUGAGAAGCACGCAAGCGCCUCUAGUGGCUGUCAAUGAGACAGCCACUAGAGGAUUAGGGGGAAGGCUUAACCCAUUCAUAAACAUAG
Molecule: non-coding RNA, 223 nt
Organism: Pelobates cultripes (western spadefoot toad)
Lineage: Eukaryota; Metazoa; Chordata; Amphibia; Anura; Pelobatidae
Source: the annotation of a GenBank genome assembly